RNAcentral lists this ribosomal RNA (513 nucleotides) under bacterium enrichment culture clone NKeNSO3. Its description in RNAcentral is "bacterial SSU rRNA". It matches the Rfam family "Bacterial small subunit ribosomal RNA", at positions 26 to 526 of the family's 1533-position model. The record is from RNAcentral.
GGCUAGAUUGGACGCUGGCGGCAGGCUUAACACAUGCAAGUCGAGCGGUAACAGAUCCAGCUUGCUGGAUGCUGACGAGCGGCGGACGGGUGAGUAAUGCAUAGGAAACUGCCCAAUAGUGGGGGAUAGCCCGGGGAAACCCGGAUUAAUACCGCAUACGUCCUACGGGAGAAAGCAGGGGCUCUUCGGACCUUGCGCUAUUGGAUGUGCCUAUGUCGGAUUAGCUAGUUGGUGGGGUAAAGGCCUACCAAGGCGACGAUCCGUAGCUGGUCUGAGAGGAUGAUCAGCCACAUCGGGACUGAGACACGGCCCGAACUCCUACGGGAGGCAGCAGUGGGGAAUAUUGGACAAUGGGGGCAACCCUGAUCCAGCCAUGCCGCGUGUGUGAAGAAGGCUUUCGGGUUGUAAAGCACUUUCAGUGAGGAGGAAAACCUUAUGGUUAAUACCCAUGAGGCUUGACGUUACUCACAGAAGAAGCACCGGCUAACUCCGUGCCAGCCGCCGCGGUAAUAC